GAUGAACGCUGGCGGCGUGCUUAACACAUGCAAGUCGAACGAUGAAGCGCAGCUUGCUGGGUGGAUUAGUGGCGAACGGGUGAGUAACACGUAAGUAACCUGCCCCUCACUCUGGGAUAAGCGCUGGAAACGGAGCCGAAUACUGGAUAUGUCACAUCACCACAUGGAGGGUUGGUUGGAAAAUGUUGCGGUUGGGGUUAGGUACACGUCCUAUCAGCUUGUUGUAGAGCUAAUGGAAGCCAACGGCGUCGACGGGUAGCCGGCCUGAGAGGGUGAACGGGCACCCUGGGCCUGCGGCACGCACCAGACUCCAACGUUCCGCAGCAGUGGGAAAUCUUGCACAAUGGGCGGACGCCUGAUGUAGCGACCCCGCGUGAGUGAUGACGGCCUUCGGGUUGUAAACCUCUUUUAGCAGGGAAGAAGCGAAAGUGACGGUACCUGCAGAGAAAGCACCGGCUAACUACGUG
Molecule: ribosomal RNA, 467 nt
Filed under: uncultured bacterium
Lineage: Bacteria
Description: partial 16S ribosomal RNA
Rfam family: Bacterial small subunit ribosomal RNA
Source: RNAcentral